UCUCCGUUGGUGAACCAGCGGAGGGAUCAUUAUCGAGUUUAUAACUCCCAAACCCUAUGUGAACUUACCACUUGUUGCUUCGGCGCGCGCUUCGGUGCCGCCGAGGACACUUAAACUCUUUGUUUUUAUAAGCAUUUCUGAGUGGCCGAAAGGCAAAAUACAAACGAAUCAAAACUUUCAACAACGGAUCUCUUGGUUCUG
This 201-nucleotide unclassified non-coding RNA is filed under the name plant metagenome. RNAcentral's name for it is "partial contains small subunit ribosomal RNA, internal transcribed spacer 1, and 5.8S ribosomal RNA". The record is from RNAcentral.